Molecule: non-coding RNA, 3119 nt
Organism: Chlorocebus sabaeus (green monkey)
Lineage: Eukaryota; Metazoa; Chordata; Mammalia; Primates; Cercopithecidae
Source: RefSeq, a predicted model, not a curated record
AGGAACUAACAGUGAGCCGAGAUCGCACCACUGCACUCCAGCCUGGGCGACAGAGCAAGAUUCUGUCUCAAAAAAAAAAAAAAAAGAUUGAGGGGUUCAUCAGUCUUUGCUAUUUCUCAUGGAAGGACCAGGCAAUUACUUAUAUUAAUACAACCACACCGAUGACCACUUCUUAAGAUUAUUUUUUCAGACGGUGCGGCGUGGCUCAUACUGGUAAUCCCAGCAAUUUGGGCUGCUGAAGCAUGCGGAUUGCUUGAGCGCGGGAGUUUGAGACCAGCCUGGGCAAUAUGGACUCAAGGCUUUCUAGCACAGACUCCACCCCUCCAAUUUCCGGUCCAUCAACACCAACCCACAGAUCACCUUCUGAUCAAAGGCUGGAAAGAGGGAAAACUUGAGCCUACCUGGGAAGGACCCUAUGUGAUGCUCAUAACAACUAAGACAGCAGUCCGAGCCACUGAGAAAGGGUGAACUCAUUAUACUCCAGUUAAAAAGCAAUUACCUUGUCCAAAGCCAUGGAUGGUUGUCCCAGGGUCAACUCCCACCAAAGUAAUGUUAAAGAAAAAAGCUUAAUCUACCUAUCUCUUCUUUUCUUUUCCUUAACUGCUCCCCAUCUUAUAAUUAAGGUAACUAGAUCAAGUCCACCCCAGAUUAUUACCUUUGAUGCUUGUUUAGUCAUAUCCUGUGGAUAUUUACAAAACCAAAGACAGUUACUGCUUCAGAGAAAUAUCUCUGCCCCUCUUGGACUUCCUCAGAUUGGAAAGAUAUAGUAAAUUCCUACAUAGAUAAUAAUCCCAAGAAUAGUAGUUGUAUUAACUGGUGGGAAUGGGACUCUUGUCCCCCUAAAAUAGAGUCCCUCUGCUAUACUUGGUCUAAUGUCCUAUUGAACACCAAAGGUCUAGGCUGAACUGCUCCCACAAGUCUUUGUCAGUUCUUAAAACCAUAUAUCCAUUUUACCAAAGAGGCCGCUCCUACUAAUUGUCAACAUAACCAGUGUAAUCCUGUACAGCUUACUAUCACUAUUGCAACAUCCCCAAACUCUUCCCCAUCAUUAAGUCGUAUUUAUGGUAUGGGAGCUGACAUCUCAGGAACAGAUCCUAGAGGAUUUUUUGAAAUACACUUUGUUGCUGCUUCAACCUCUCUAUCCCAUCCUCCUAAAACAAUCACCCAUCUCAUACCCAAUGACAAAACCAAAGUAGCAUAGUAGGAGUAAAAGACCUAAGGCAAACUUUAGCAAUUGAGACAGGGUACCAAGAUGCAAAUACCUGGUUGGAAUGGAUUAAAUAUUCCAUCCACGUUCUAAAUAAAAGCUAUUGUUACGCUUGUGUGCAUGGUAGACCAGAGGCCCAAACUGUCCCCUUUCCACUUGGAUGGUCUUCUAAUUGACCAGACAUGGACUGCAUGGUGGCUCUCUUCCAAGACCCCACGGCCUGGGGUAAUAAAUCAUGCCAAACACUCUCUCUGCUAUUCCCUGAGGUCCAGCACCCUGCAGGUCAGCCCCUGAGGGCCAUCCAGCCUUCAUCUUCCAGGGCCAAUUUUGCCUCCUGUCUCUCACGACAGGGGGAAAACUUUGUGUUCCUUGGAAACCUAACAGGAUGCAGUGAGCUCAGGCACUUCCAAGAGCUAACCCAUCAAUCCGCCCCUAUCCAUCCUCGAGCAGAUGUAUGCUGGUAUUGUGGUGGACCUUUACUGGACACUCUGUCAAGUAACUGGAGUGGUACUUGCACUCUAAUUCAAUUGACUGUCCCUUUCACCCUGACAUUUCAUACACUGUAGGAAAUAACAACCAAACACUGGAGCACAAGAAAUGUCCCUUGUAAGUCCUUUGACCCUAAUGUUUAUAUAGAUGCGAUUGGAGUCCCACAAGGAGUACCAGAUGAAUUUAAAGCCCAAAAUCAAAUAGCCGCAGGAUUUGAGUCAUUAUUUGGGUGGGUGACUAUCAGUAAAAAUGUAGACUGGAUAAAUUAUAUUUACUACAACCAGCAACAGUUUGUUAAUUAUAUAAGAGAUGCUAUUAAAGGAAUAGCUGAGCAAUUAGGACCCGCCAGUCAAAUGGCUUGGGAACAUAGAAUAGCAUUAGACAUGAUACUAGCAGAAAAGGGUGGAGUUUGUAUUAUGAUUGGAACCCCAUGUUGUACCUUUAUCCACAAUAAUACUGCCCCUGAUGGAACUAUAACAAAAACACUACAAGGUCUUACUGCUUUAUCAAGUGAACUAACUAAAAAUUCUGGGAUAAAUGAUCCUUUCACUAACUUAAUGAAGAGAUAGUUUGGCAAAUGGAAGGGACUCAUGUCCUCAGUCUUCACCUCACCUGCCCUUACAGUAAGUGUGCUUAUCCUUGUAGGAUGUCAUAUCAUACCUUGUAUUCAUGGAUUACUGCAAAAGCUUUUAGAAAAAGCUCUUACCAAAAUCCUUUUCAACUUUCCUCCUCCUUAUUCGGAUAAGUUGCUCCUUCUAACUGACCAAGAAGAGCAAUUGAGUCAAGACAUUUUAAAAAGAUUUGAAGAGGAAGAAUGUAAAAUCAAGAGGGGAAAAUUUUUAAGAAUAAAAGUUCCUCUUCAAAGUUUACCUUCUUGUUAAGAAUAAUAAGUUUUAAGAAGGAUAGUUCCUCUUAAAAGCUUCUUUCAGGUUUCCUUUAUGUUUCAUAGUGACAAAUCUUUUACUCUACUAAUCACUCUUUGUUGUCCCCUGGGUGGUUGUUAAAUACAGUAAAGGAAUAAGCAUAUCCUAUGUCCUUGUAAUAUUAAUUGAAGGCCUAACCCAUUUGUUCCCUGAUCUGCCUGGACAUGCCCAGACAUGCCCAGGCACAUUCUAGCUUGCUGCCUAUGCUUCUUUCCUUAUUUGGAAAUGUUACUGUCCUCCUAGUUUCCCGCAAGCAACCCCCUCCCUUUCUUUGUUGCCCAUUGCACCUUUACCUAUUUAGAAAAGUUUAAGUUUUUAGCCAAUUGGGAUCAGUCUAGAUUAUGCAGUCCAGCUGCAGCCAAUGGAGAUAGGACACAGCAGUAGGGACCCAAUGUGUCAGGGAUAAGAACCCCUGCUUUCCUUUGUUCAGGGUGCUCUCAUGGCGAUCAAGCUUACAGGUAGCACCCUUCUACAGAAGUAAAUUCACGUUACUGAUCAAU